This 488-nucleotide ribosomal RNA is filed under the name uncultured bacterium. RNAcentral's name for it is "bacterial SSU rRNA". It matches the Rfam family "Bacterial small subunit ribosomal RNA", at positions 28 to 517 of the family's 1533-position model. The record is from RNAcentral.
GAUGAACGCUAGCGGCAGGCUUAACACAUGCAAGUCGAGGGGUAUUGGUUUUCGGACCAAGAGACCGGCGCACGGGUGCGUAACGCGUAUGCAAUCUACCUUUUGCAGAGGGAUAGCCCAGAGAAAUUUGGAUUAAUACCUCAUAGUAUAGUACUUUGGCAUCAAGGAACUAUUAAAGUCACAACGGCAAAGAUGAGCAUGCGUCCCAUUAGCUAGUUGGUAAGGUAACGGCUUACCAAGGCUACGAUGGGUAGGGGUCCUGAGAGGGAGAUCCCCCACACUGGUACUGAGACACGGACCAGACUCCUACGGGAGGCAGCAGUGAGGAAUAUUGGACAAUGGGCGCAAGCCUGAUCCAGCCAUGCCGCGUGCAGGAUGACGGUCCUAUGGAUUGUAAACUGCUUUUUANACAGGAAGAAACACUCCGACGUGUCGGAGCUUGACGGUACUGUAAGAAUAAGGAUCGGCUAACUACGUGCCAGCAGCCG